UUACGUGUUUGGCAAACUCAUUGAAAAAUGGGGACGCAAAACCAUGGGUCUAAGACAAAAAUGUUAUGGCUGCCAGGUUGCAAAU
Molecule: regulatory RNA element, 85 nt
Organism: Sporomusa sp. An4
Lineage: Bacteria; Bacillati; Bacillota; Negativicutes; Selenomonadales; Sporomusaceae
Rfam family: c-di-GMP-I riboswitch aptamer
About the family: GEMM was predicted in a large-scale screen for bacterial structured RNA regulatory elements. Genes associated with GEMM are involved in a diverse array of functions, including chemotaxis regulation, signal transduction, secretion and chitin.
Source: Rfam